AACGUCAAAAACAGCACCACUUCUGAGCCUGAAAUUGAAGAUGACACCGACUCGGAACUUGAAUCGGAAAUUCUCGAGACUGAUGAGAUGGAUGCCGUCACUACGUCUCCACUGAUGACGUCAUCAGUUCCAAAGUUCGCCCUAAUCUUCAUUAUUCCGAUUUUCCUCGCAAUUCUUCUGUACUUGGUGCCAAUCGAUUUUUUUCAAUGGACUCUAUGAGAACUAAAUUCUACUUGCUGAUAUAAAAAAUUGAUAAUUAAAAUUAUUUAAAAGCAAAAUAGUUUUACUUUAAAAUUGAAAUAUCUUUAACAACAGGCAUCUAAUUAUGAAUCAAUGUGUUUUUUGCAAAUAUAAUCCCGCAUCACUUCAUUACACUCCUGGUCCCACUCAUAGUCAAAAAAAAACCAGUACCUGUUGUAGCUUGAGAACCAUGCUCGAAAAAUCAAACUUGUUCAGUGCCCUUACAGUACCCCUACAGUACCCCUUCCAUAUCCAUACAAUAACCCUACACUAAGCAUACAGUACUGAAAAGCAAUUUUCAGGAAGUUGCUCAAUCCUGGAAAGCAUCCCGAAAAAACGUACGUGCACCAGGACCUCUACAGUACUCCAUCACUACCCAUAUUCUACAGUCCCACUAUUUUAUUUUCUACAGUACUCCUGCAGUACAGCAAUGGUACAUCUACAGUAACCCUACAGUGCCUUAUAGUAAUUUUUGUGUAAUUAUGUGGAUACUGUAGCGUUAAAAAUACGUUAACAAGAGAAAUCCAGAAUUUUUUUAUUUCGUUUUGAAAUUUGAAACAAAAAUUGAAAAUUUUUCACGUGAACCAGAAUUUUCACAAAAAAUUGGGAGUUUGUUGGAUCCACGUGGACAUAUUUGGAAUUUUUUCUCAGAUUUUGAAUUUGAAAAAGUUUUAUUUCGAUAUUUGUCGGUUGCUUCGAGCAAAAUGCCCAAAACUCCGUUGACUCAACGGCAAAUUGCUGCAAAAUACAAAAAUGAGACUUGGGACGACAUUGUGAAAGAGGUUAGUUGGAAUUUUCUAGCAUUCCGUACCCAAUAAUUGACUAUAUUUUAGAUGAGAGAAAACUCUGCAUACUGGAUGGAUACGGUAGGUUUUUGUUUGAAUUCCCAGCAAAAUUGUUCUUUUCAGACUUUACCGAAAGCCGAGCAGCGCAGAAAUUAUGGGAAGAUGGAGGAAUUUGUGAAAAGAAUGGAUAUGUGCCGGGAGAGACAGAAGGCGGUUAGUUGAAUAGAGGGAGAGAGACCAGACAGCACUCUAACUGUCUGCGCUCUGGUUAUCCGAUUUUUUAAAGCAAAUUCUGAAAAAUCGACAGUUUUCGGGGUUUUUUUCCUCAAAAUUAUCGACUUUGACAAUUUAGAAAAUGUUUCUUUUCAAACUAUAAUUUUUUUUGAAACUGUCUAGUUUUUUUCCGAUUUUUGAGAAAUUAAUAAAAACAUAAACUUUAAAAGUUGGAAAUUAUCGAUUAAUUCCAACAAUAAAUCCAAUUUUCAGACGGUAGAAAAUCUGAAAAAUCUGGAAAAACUUGUGGAGCAAGACGAGAAUGGAAAUGCGGUGGGCAUCCAGAAAAACUUUUUUCUGUAAUGUACCUAAAUUACAGGAAAUUUCCGCGGAAGAUCAAGAGAUUCUAUCGAUGCUGAAAUUGGAUCAAGUAAGAGACUUUGUGCACCAGAACUUCUAGAACUACGGGAAUAUUUUCAGAAUGCUCAUAAAGCAAUUUUGAAUCUUCGCAACUCGGAUUUUGAGGGUCUUGAGCCGGAAGUUAAAGACACAAUUAUGUAUUUCAGAAAGGUGAGCAUUUCCUGAUUCUGAACAACUGAAUUUUAUAGAUUUCGCUCAAAAACUAACAGAUUUACGGCUAAUUUUCAAAUAGAGUGAAGGAGGGGAGAGAGCGCAGACGACGAGAGUGUCUCGUUUCUCUUUCUCUCCUCACAUUACCUCACACUCAUUAUACAUUUUUCAGAUUGAAAUGGAAGACGAGGUAUUCGGAAAAGAGCCGGUGGAUGCUUCUGAUAGUGACGAAG
RNAcentral lists this small RNA (2041 nucleotides) under Caenorhabditis elegans. RNAcentral's name for it is "Unclassified non-coding RNA C14A6.19". Lineage: Eukaryota; Metazoa; Nematoda; Chromadorea; Rhabditida; Rhabditidae. The record is from RNAcentral.